This 280-nucleotide long non-coding RNA is filed under the name Mytilus galloprovincialis (Mediterranean mussel). Lineage: Eukaryota; Metazoa; Mollusca; Bivalvia; Mytilida; Mytilidae. The record is from RNAcentral.
UUAUUACCAUAUUCACAUUUUAGAAACCAUUUUCAUUCACAUAUCGAAUCAGAUUUUAUGACCCGCUUAAGAGAAAUAAAGUGUUCAGUAAAACAUCUGUAGGUACCCCUCAAAAAGGAAAUUAGCAACACCGAUGUGGUUCGAGCAAGAAACCAUGUUUUUGUCCAGGCGAUAUCCUUUUUCAGACUUUUGGUGAACAAUUAUCAUUAAGUUUUUUGGUAUCCCCUUUCCUUUUUUACCCUGUGGAAUCAAGCUAAGAGAAUAUUACACCAAAUGCCAG